RNAcentral lists this ribosomal RNA (601 nucleotides) under Streptomyces sp. YIM M 11155. RNAcentral describes it as "bacterial SSU rRNA". It matches the Rfam family "Bacterial small subunit ribosomal RNA", at positions 62 to 678 of the family's 1533-position model. Lineage: Bacteria; Bacillati; Actinomycetota; Actinomycetes; Kitasatosporales; Streptomycetaceae. The record is from RNAcentral.
UCGACGAUGAAGCCGCUUCGGUGGUGGAUUAGUGGCGAACGGGUGAGUAACACGUGGGCAAUCUGCCCUGCACUUCGGGACAAGCCCUGGAAACGGGGUCUAAUACCGGAUAUGAUCACUGGCCGCAUGGUCUGGUGGUGGAAAGCUCCGGCGGUGCAGGAUGAGCCCGCGGCCUAUCAGCUUGUUGGUGGGGUGAUGGCCUACCAAGGCGACGACGGGUAGCCGGCCUGAGAGGGCGACCGGCCACACUGGGACUGAGACACGGCCCAGACUCCUACGGGAGGCAGCAGUGGGGAAUAUUGCACAAUGGGCGCAAGCCUGAUGCAGCGACGCCGCGUGAGGGAUGACGGCCUUCGGGUUGUAAACCUCUUUCAGCAGGGAAGAAGCGUGAGUGACGGUACCUGCAGAAGAAGCACCGGCUAACUACGUGCCAGCAGCCGCGGUAAUACGUAGGGUGCGAGCGUUGUCCGGAAUUAUUGGGCGUAAAGAGCUCGUAGGCGGCUUGUCGCGUCGGAUGUGAAAGCCCGGGGCUUAACCCCGGGUCUGCAUUCGAUACGGGCAGGCUGGAGUUCGGCAGGGGAGAUUGGAAUUCCUGGUGUAG